This 513-nucleotide ribosomal RNA is filed under the name uncultured bacterium. RNAcentral describes it as "partial 16S ribosomal RNA". It matches the Rfam family "Bacterial small subunit ribosomal RNA", at positions 354 to 874 of the family's 1533-position model. The record is from RNAcentral.
UGGGGGAAUAUUGCACAAUGGGCGCAAGCCUGAUGCAGCAACGCCGCGUGAGGGAUGACGGCCUUCGGGUUGUAAACCUCUUUUAGUAGGGAAGAAGCGAAAGUGACGGUACCUGCAGAAAAAAGCACCGGCUAACUACGUGCCAGCAGCCGCGGUAAUACGUAGGGUGCGAGCGUUGUCCGGAAUUAUUGGGCGUAAAGAGCUCGUAGGCGGUCUGUCGCGUCUGCUGUGGAAAACCCGAGGCUCAACCUCGGGCCUGCAGUGGGUACGGGCAGACUAGAGUGCGGUAGGGGGAGAAUGGAAUUCCUGGUGUAGCGGUGGAAUGCGCAGAUAUCAGGAGGAACACCGAUGGCGAAGGCAGUUCUCUGGGCCGUAACUGACGCUGAGGAGCGAAAGCGUGGGGAGCGAACAGGAUUAGAUACCCUGGUAGUCCACGCCGUAAACGUUGGGCGCUAGAUGUGGGGACCAUUCCACGGUUUCCGUGUCGCAGCUAACGCAUUAAGCGCCCCGCCU